This is a long non-coding RNA of Alligator mississippiensis (American alligator), 737 nucleotides long. RefSeq lists it as uncharacterized. The transcript is spliced from 3 exons. The record is from RefSeq and is a predicted model, not a curated record. NCBI's taxonomy places the organism in Eukaryota, Metazoa, Chordata, Crocodylia, Alligatoridae.
UGAAAGCCCAAGCCUAUGUUUUGUUAGUCAGUGUGCGCUUCUCUCUCACACAUCCACACCUUUGCUUUCUCUUGGCUGUGAAGACAGCACUGGGAGAACAGCAGAUGGAGGGAAGGAGGGAAGAAAGCUAAAGACAAACUCUGCAGAGUCCAGUGCACCAACAAAGGAUGCCUCGACUCCUUCAAUAUACUCGGCAGCUGCUAACCUGUUGCCUGCUUUAAGAUCUUUGCCUGUUGGCAGCCAGCACCACUCUGUGACACAGUCACAUUCUGAAAAACAAAAUCAAGCACUAGGGUUCUGUUUUUCACUGGCCUUCCAUGGGCUUGACUGUACCAUUCAGAUGCAAGGAGGAACAGUGGAAGGUCACAUUGCCCCAAGUGAGGUUGGAAGAGAUUGUGUAAGGACAGUUCCUCCCCAAGGCUCAGCAGGACCAGCCAGGCUACACCAUCUAUAUAAAAGGGGUGACUAGAUGACCUCCUGAGGUCCUCAUGGUCUGUGAUUGCAAGAAUGGAGUGCAGGGACUUUGCCUUAGCCCAGCAUGGCUACAACCCGUACCCCUGAAACAUGGAAGAUAGCCAAUGUUGCCGUUUGAGAUGGAGCCUAUGCAACACGAAAAAGAAAGAAGCCAAACCCAACAGAGACACGUAUUUCCUACGCCUAUGCAAAAAACACAACUUCGUUCCCAGAGGACUAAACAUCUACAAUCUGUUGGUCUAAUAAAAGAUUUACCCAAAGAA